UUAGUACCUGAUCAGGUAGUGACGGUAUCCAACCAGAAAGCCACGGCUACUAACGUGCCAGCAGCGCCGGUAAUACGUAGUGGCAAGCGUUGUCCGGAUUUAUUUGGGCGUAAAGCGAGCGCAGGCGGUUUCUUAAGUCUGAUGUGAAAGCCUUCGGCUCAACCGAAGAAGUGCAUCGGAAACUGGGAAACUUGAGUGCAGAAGAGGACAGUGGAACUCCAUGUGUAGCGGUGAAAUGCGUAGAUAUAUGGAAGAACACCAGUGGCGAAGGCGGCUGUCUGGUCUGUAACUGACGCUGAGGCUCGAAAGCAUGGGUAGCAACCAGGAUUAGAUACCCUGGUAGUCCAUGCCGUAAACGAUGAGUGCUAGGUGUUGGAGGGUUUCCGCCCUUCAGUGCCGCAGCUAACGCAUUAAGCACUCCGCCUGGGGAGUACGACCGCAAGGUUAAACUCAAAGGAAUUGACGGGGGCCCGCACAAGCGGUGGAGCAUGUGGUUUAAUUCGAAGCAACGCGAAGAACCUUACCAGGUCUUGACAUCCUUUGACCACUCUAGAGAUAGAGCUUUCCCUUCGGGGACAAAGUGACAGGUGGUGCAUGGUUGUCGUCAGCUCGUGUCGUGAGAUGUUGGGUUAAGUCCCGCAACGAGCGCAACCCUUAUUACUAGUUGCCAGCAUUUAGUUGGGCACUCUAGUGAGACUGC
This 700-nucleotide ribosomal RNA is filed under the name Latilactobacillus curvatus. RNAcentral's name for it is "bacterial SSU rRNA". It matches the Rfam family "Bacterial small subunit ribosomal RNA", at positions 448 to 1152 of the family's 1533-position model. Lineage: Bacteria; Bacillati; Bacillota; Bacilli; Lactobacillales; Lactobacillaceae. The record is from RNAcentral.